UUAACCUUAAACAUCCAUGAAAGAAACUUUAUAUCGUGCGAGUAUAAUACAAAUCUUUUAGCUUUAGUUUGAGGAAAUUCUUUUAUUAUGUAAAUUUAAAACUAUUUUUUAAAUGAAAAUUUAAAAUAAAAUAGCCUUUGAACUCAUAAAAUCCACCUUUGUAAAAGCUGGCAUGUGGAUCAAAAAAUAUGGGGGCACAAAAGCAGUUGUCCCUGGCAAUGAUAGGCUAUCAACAGCCCAUCCCCAUGCAGAAUGACUAACCUGCUAAAAUCAUUCUUAUCAACUUAUACAAAUAAGCAGAUAGAGUUCUAAUCAAUUGCCAGCAUUUCCAUGUAUUUUUUUUUCUUGGGACCUGAAUAUUUAUCCAUACUUUUUUCCUCUCUAUUUUGUAGAAGAGUCUGGGAAUAAUUUAGCUAGAGAUUCCUUAUUCCUUUGGAAACCAGGGCUGCAAACUUGUAUUUUAAAGCUGUGAAAAAUGUAAUGUAUUAUAAGCACUGAAAUUUUUGUUCAAGUUGAUAUUUUCAAAACGAAGUUUCCAUUGUAGUAAAAACUUUCCAUCGUGAGGUAGCAAAAUGUCAUUAUUUGUAAUAAGCAAAAAAGAGAAGCCUUUGUUUUGGCUUAAAAUUCAAUACAAGUAGGUGGGAUCAUUCUAAAAUGCAUGGAAGUAGCAUUCAACAAAAUAUGCUGGUAAUGAUGGUGCAAUGAAAUUCCCUACAUGAGGAUCAGUCAAUCAGCCAUCUCAUCUCUGUGUCUUGCUUUCCCUGCUGCAUGAAUGCAGACCAUCCAUGAAACCAGCUCCCACACCAUUAUAGUGGACUCUUUGUAGGCUGUUUGUUGGGGCGGGUGUGUAUAGCGAGAGAUGUCUAUGCAUUUACACCAGUGUGUCGGUGUUCAGUUUAGGUGCAUGCCAUACAUUGCUGCUGCCACAGAUGGAUAUGCAAGAGCAGAAAAUGCAGCUGGAGGGUUUCAGAUGCCUCAGUCCAGUGAGCCCUGGGCGUUUCCCAGGUUCAUGUCGUUGCAGAACCCCUGCAAGGAAUACACUCCUGAUUGUUUUAUUUACAUCCUACAAGGAAGCUUCUUCAGACCCACACUUGCUGCUUCAUUUCAUCAUCAAGUGCUACCUGCAAACUCUGGAAGUGAAGCCAUGUUAGGUGGAAGCUUGGGAAGCUUUCAACAUAUGAUUUACAGUAAUGCACCAUGA
This 1201-nucleotide long non-coding RNA is filed under the name Phasianus colchicus (ring-necked pheasant). RNAcentral's name for it is "lncRNA (ENSPCLG00000010461.1)". Lineage: Eukaryota; Metazoa; Chordata; Aves; Galliformes; Phasianidae. The record is from RNAcentral.